RNAcentral lists this ribosomal RNA (110 nucleotides) under Eptatretus burgeri (inshore hagfish). The record is from RNAcentral. Lineage: Eukaryota; Metazoa; Chordata; Myxini; Myxiniformes; Myxinidae.
CCUUAUCAUCUUGAAUGCACCCAAUUCCAUCAUGUCUUGGAAGCUAAUCAGAAUCAAGCCUUGUUUGUAAUGGAUGGGAGACCACAGAGAAGCCUCUUGGCAUUUGAGGC